AUGUACCCUAGAGGCUCCGGCCGGGCGGGCGGCCGGUCGAGACUCGAGAGCUACGGUCCCGGUCUAGUUUUGGUUAGUUCAUUUGGUCCCAUAAAUUCCUUGGCAUCUCGUGUACCGUCCUGGUCCUGCACCGCAGGCUUGCAUUGUCUUGUGUUCAUCUUGCUACGCUGGUUCCAACAUUUUACGGCGUACGCAUUGGAUCCGGUCCAAGCUGCUGCGCUUGCCCCAGCAAUUAGCGCCACUGACCGGGGUCUCCGACACGUUUUCCAGGAGCGGCUGAGCGGUGGCCCCCGACCCCGUCACCGAAGCGAAUGGAGGCUAGCGCGGUUUUUUAGCCUGAUCAUCAUUAUCCACGGCACGGCUCUGGUGGAUCGCCAUGUGUUAAUUUAUGGUGGUGUCUCCCUCGCCCUGGGGCUCGGCUCGUAUCGUAUGGGUGUGGGGUUCGCCGCGCUUGGAAGUACCCGCUCGGACGUGGCUCUUGUCGCUUGUCGGGCCUCCCUCCCUCCCUCCCUCCCGCUCUGUAGCGGCGUCCGGGGUUGGGCAGAUGCGCAGUGUGGGCACACGGCGCGCAAACGCGCGCCGAGAACCCACCGCCUUUCCCCGGAUGGCGACGCAUGUGGCGACGCCGCUCGACCGCCGGUGGGCGGUUCACCUUGUCGCCGACCUCACCACGUCGGCGCUGAACAUUUUUCAAGCGAGGCGUUCUGCUCCGGCGGGGUGAUUCCCCUGUGCUGGCCCUCAUCAACGACCGCGGGGUCCGCGGUCAACUCGAUGCGGGUACACGGAAAGUUUUCGAUCGGGGAAGGGACGCAGGUGCGUUUCCCUUGUCACGUUGUGCUGGUCGACAGGGCGCUGGGUUCCGAGGCGGAGGUGUGGCGUGACGCGCAGAUCGAGGCAGAGGAGGAGAGGGAGCGUCGGGAAUGGAGGAGGAUUAAAGCUGCAGCGCUGUGUGGUGCGGCCAUUCCCUCCCCUCUCGACGAAAUCUACUCCCCUCCUCUCCCACAAGCGAGCGAUCCGCCAGAGGAUAACCAUGAAGCCCUAGAAGCUGAGGCUCGAGGCGGGGGCUCGGGUGAUUGUAGACGGGGACGAAUCAAAGCUGAUGGAGAUCAUCUCCAGGUUCUCGACAGGAAGCUCACCGAGGCGGAAGACUGGCGCCUCACACCGACGAGCAGGCCGGUGGGGGCGCUCAGGAUGUUGCUGUGGGCGAUGGAGGAGGCGGAAUCGGACGACCCCAUGCAAGCGAUAAAGGUCGGGGUAGGGAUCUCGCCGGCAGGCAGUCGCUUCUGGCUGCUCGCUGGUGAGGAUUUCGAUGAGGAGACUAGGCUCUUGAUGGAAUCUCAAGAUAGGUCUGGGAUGUUCAGGGGGGGUAAUGAUGUCAUCAAACCUCUCUCCCUGUGGGAUGGAGAGUGUGAUCCCCUCGAGGAUUUAGGGUUUCCCUCCAUCCCGCCGCCACCAGAAACAGAGGAAGUAGUUAGGAUGAAUAGUGCUUCGAAGGAAAUCGGGGCGGAGGAAGAUUUAAUCGAGGAGGAAGAGAUGGAUUCCAAUACAGAAAGAAAGAGGAAGAGAUUGACAAAUUCAAAAGGAAUUCUCAAUAGUUUAGCAGGGCUUCCAAUGGGUUUGGACCCAGAUUCACACCUGGCACUUCAAAUUAUUAAGAAAACGGAGGAGAGCAACAACAGUGGUUUGGGGCACUCCUCGCCCAGAUGGCACAACAGGGGGCAGAGACUAUCAAAGGAGGAGAGACUGAUGCUGGGUCAGGAUUCAGACAAAACCAGAACAACUGGAGGGGGUGCUGGCAGAAUGACACAGAGAGAGGGAACUGAUUUGAAUAAGGGUGGAACCAAUUUUAGAUUAAUGUGGAACAAAUGCAAAGACUUCAGACACCAAACUAGGGAUUACAAACUCUCAAACUGCAUCAUGUGUGGGAAAAAUUCUCACAUCACUGAGGAUUGCCACUGGUUGAAGCAAAUAAAGCCUUUGCCUAAAUAUGUUCGGUAUGCAGCCAGAGGGCUAGGAGUGUUCCUGAUACAGAACUCUAAGGAAGUGGUGAGCAGUGAGCAGAUUAACCCAAUGGCAAUCAUUACUAUUGCUUCUAAAGAGAUUAAUGAGACACAAUUUCUGGAGGGCUUCAACUACAUGCUCAAUUGGACCUAUGACACUCAAGCUAUUGGGAAGCUACACACUGUGUGCGUGAAGAUUGGCAAGAUGCCCGAAUGCUUCAGACACUUUUUUGGUGCUUGUGAGGUGGCUGCUACCAUUGGUCCAAUGUUGGAGAUUAACAUGACAACUAUUAUGCAAGAGAAAAUUAGAGCCAAGGUGGGGGGCUGGUAUGAGGACAAAAGGAAACAUGAAGACCUUGAGACAAAUAAGGAGGCCGACCUAGAUGACAUGAGAAAUAAGAUUAAAAUUGGUGGAGUUGAUGCAGAGGGGAACAAAGAAAACAUCUCUUUGGGAAGUGUAGGGCUUAAACAAUUUGAAGAAAUGAACAAGAGAAAUGAUGAAAUUCUGAACAUUCAGAAGGAAUAUCUGGCUGAGGUUGGAAUGAGGAAAAGUCAGGACUGUGUGGAGUCUCUGGGGUCAAAACUGGGGAUUUCUACCAAAGAUGAUAAAGACAAGGACAAGGAUGGACCAACUAGAAGAAGUGACAGGAACUCGGACAAAAAAGAUGCUAAGAUUGAAGAUUUGGCCAAAGAAAGAGCUGCUAACAAAGAUAAUUAUGAUAAACUCUUGGAUUUUGUGGGGCUGCUAGAAACCAUUAAAGGAGAUUACACAAAGAAUGAACUCCAUAACUUUUCUGGAGGAAGAAAUUUUCUUUGGGAAUGGAUUGCCCUAGAGGCAAAUCUGGGGAGGCAUCAAUGCCCAGGAAAGAAUCAUGCAAAAAGAAUUAAGGAGAGAGCUGAAAGAGAUUCUCAAACUAGAAGAAAUCAAGUGGCUGCAAAGAAAACGCACCCAGGGGAAGGAAUGCUGAUGCUGGGGGCAAGGCUCAUCGAACAGGUGGCAAGUGAGAUCUUCAAAGCUUCACAGGGAUGGCGUUUUGGAGUACCAAGGCUGUAG
RNAcentral lists this ribosomal RNA (3054 nucleotides) under Triticum aestivum (bread wheat). Its description in RNAcentral is "partial small subunit ribosomal RNA". Lineage: Eukaryota; Viridiplantae; Streptophyta; Magnoliopsida; Poales; Poaceae. The record is from RNAcentral.